ACUCAAAUGAAUUGACGGGGGCCCGCACAAGCGGUGGAGCAUGUGGUUUAAUUCGACGCAACGCGAAGAACCUUACCUGGGCUUGACAUGUUGGUGGUAAGAACCUGAAAGGGGGAUGACCUGUAGCAAUACAGGAGCCAGCACAGGUGCUGCAUGGCUGUCGUCAGCUCGUGCCGUGAGGUGUUGGGUUAAGUCCCGCAACGAGCGCAACCCUUAUCCUAUGUUACCUCGCAAGAGGGUCUCUUAGGAAACUGCCGGCGAUGAGCUGGAGGAAGGUGGGGACGACGUCAAGUCAUCAUGGCCCUUAUGUCCAGGGCUACACACGUGCUACAAUGGCUUCUACAGAGGGAUGCAAGACCGCGAGGUGGAGCCAAUCCCUAAAAGAAGUCGUAGUUGGGAUCGGAGUCUGCAACUCGACUCCGUGAACCUGGAAUCGCUAGUAAUCGCGGAUCAGAACGCCGCGGUGAAUACGUUCCCGGGCCUUGUACACACCGCCCGU
RNAcentral lists this ribosomal RNA (499 nucleotides) under uncultured bacterium. Its description in RNAcentral is "partial 16S ribosomal RNA". It matches the Rfam family "Bacterial small subunit ribosomal RNA", at positions 899 to 1397 of the family's 1533-position model. The record is from RNAcentral.